This is an unclassified non-coding RNA of Otolemur garnettii (small-eared galago), 326 nucleotides long. Its record names the gene 7SK. It matches the Rfam family "7SK RNA". From Rfam's summary of the family: 7SK was discovered as an abundant small nuclear RNA in the mid-70s but a possible function has only recently been suggested. Two independent studies have found that 7SK RNA binds the CDK9/cyclin T complex (known as elongation factor P-TEFb). Lineage: Eukaryota; Metazoa; Chordata; Mammalia; Primates; Galagidae. The record is from Ensembl.
GGUUGUAGGGUGAUCUGGCUGUGACGUCUGUCACCCCACUGAUCACCAGCGUUGAUUUGUCUGAUCGGACUGACUUGGCAGGUGUUCUCUUCCACCCUCACCACUCCACAUGUGUCCCUUCUAAAACUGUAUGCUCAGUCAAAGAGGAACACCUGGCACAAUGGAGGAGGACCAUUCUUUGGUCAAGAGUGUACAAGAAUAUAUAUAGCUACACUCUUUGGUCAAGAGUAUGCAUAGCUACACUGACCUGUGGGAACUUCACAGACAAACUCUCAAAAAUCACAAAUGAAAGCUAUUGGAACAUGUGCUAUAAAUAAGCUUAUUUU